UGUAUUUUUUGUAAAGAUGGCAUGUCACCAUGUUGCCCAGGCUGGUCUUAUCCCUGAGCUCCAAGUGAUUCACCGGCCUCGGCCUCUGAAAGUGCUGGAAUUAUAGGCAUCAGCCAUAGCACCCAGCGUAAAACUUUAUUUGUAAAGCACAAUGAGCCUGUGGGCUGUAGUUUGCUCAUCCCUGGACAAGGAGAAAACCUACUGCAUGUACUAUACAUUUCAGUGUUCAAGGAAGACAAAGUCUAUAAUACAUAAACACGGAAUUUCUUCUCAGAUUAUGUUCAGAUUUUUAAAGACAUUUUAUAUUUGGAUUCUUGUGUUUUAAUGAUAAUUUUGGUUUUUGGUCUCAAUCUGAGACCUCACCAGAUGAGAGGUUUUGGUGAUCGAAGGAUUUUUUUCAAUGUGUAAACAUGUGUCAAUUAUCUGAACUAAGAAUAAGGGACUUUUAGAAGUACUGAAAACCAGGAAAGAUUUAGAGAAUUCAGUUAAACUUUUUGUAAUCAUGGAGUUGGAGUAUUUUUUUUGCCUUCUUUCAAAAAAGAGUGAAAUGCUAUAUAACAAUAUGGUUUAAAGUAAAUUUAAAUGUCAAAAAGUAAGUAUAUGAUGAGUAUAGAAACAACUGCUGUUUUUGACCUCAAAUCUGGCUGUGAGGGGGAUUCGAGGAAGAUGGAUGUGACCAUGUCAUAGUAUUUUUGUUUUUGUUUUUAACUAAAACCUACAGAAACUAGAUAGCAAAUCCAAAUCUAUGGAUAAAGUUGACCAUAGCCUUAGGCAUUUGAAAAUAAAACUAGAUAAGGGCAAACCACCAACAGAAACUAGGUAGCGAAUCCAAAAACAUGGAUAAAAUUGACUAUAGCCUUAGGCAUUUGAAAGUACAACUAGAUAAGAGCAAAUCACCAACAGCCACAAGACCUCCAUGUUAUCACUGUCUAUGCAGGAGUAAGCAGGGAGAUUUAACAGGGUAUCUCAUAAGACUUGAAAGCAGGGGAACGCCAAAAUAGCCACAACUAUUUGCUGGACAAGAUGGUGGGUUAUUUUAAGAACAGCAGCUGAAAUGGGAGGGUGGGAGGGUUGCCCACUCCAAUAUUAGGCAAGUGCAGUGUGACCAUGGUAAAGACAGAAGAAGCUAGAGUAGUCUAGCCCCAGCGAACUCUCAAAAUGGAACUACUGAAAUGAACCUGCCAGAGUGCUCAUCCAGGACAGAGCACCACACUGAUUAAAACAAAAUUGAAUAGGACAGAAUAAUCCAAAUUGAGCAGGAUAGGGACAAUAGAAUAGAGAAGAACAGGAGGAGAAGGAAAGAAAGUUCAGAUAAGGUUGGGAAGAUCAAUGGCUAGUAGAUCUCAGAAAGCAAGCUACCAGGUUUUUGAACAUUAUGUGAAAACAACGGAGGAAUGAAUUCUCUGACAUCAGAAAAACUACCUUGAACUCUACAUUAUUUUAAAAGUUCAGGAACACUAAUUUUACAUAGACAAGAGAAACAGAAAAGUAUCAAGGUAAAAUCCCAUUUAAAGUUAUUAUAAAGGAAAAAACAAAAGCUCUUAUAAAUAAAAGCACCCCAGAAAAACAUGACCGCACAACAGAUCAAACCUCUAUUAUAAAAUGAGCUGGAGAAGGAGGAGGCUGCAAAUCACUUACAAAUGAAGUGGAAGCAGGACCCAAACCCUGAGUUCCAAAAGGGUGAGCGAGUGCUGUGCUUUGAUGGGUUGCUGCUUUAUGAAACAAAAUGUGUAAAGGUUGCCAUAAAGGACAAACAAGUGAAAUACUUUAUAUAUUACAGUGGUUGUAAUAAAAAUUGGGAUGCAUGGGUUCCAGAGAGCAGAGUACUCAAAUACAUGGACACCAAUUUGCAGAAACAGAGCUUCAGAAAGCCAAUCAGGAGCGGUAUGCAGAGGGGGAGCUGAGAGGCACUGCCCCAAGAAAGAAGACGUCUGGUCUGCAACAGAAAAUGUUGAAGUGAAAACAAAAAAGAACAAACAGAAAAUACCUGGAAAUGGAGAUGGUGGCAGUUCCAGUGAGACGCCUCAGCCUCCUUGGAAGAAAAGGGCCCAGGUAGAUCCUACUCUUGAAAAUGAGGACACAUUCAUGAACAGAGUUGAAGCUAAAAAGUGAAAAUUCCUGAAGACCUGAAACCAUGGCUUGUUGAUGACUGGGACUUAAUUACCAGACAAAAACAUCUCUUUUAUCUUUCUGCCGAGAAGAAUGUGGAUUCCAUUCUUCAGGAUUAAGCAAAUUACAAAAAAAUCUCAUGGAAAAACAGAUAAUGAGUAUGCUGUUAAUGAAGUUGUGGCAGGGAUAGAAGAAUAAUUCAAUGUAAUGUUGGCUACCCAGCUACUCUCCAAAUUUGACAGACCACAGUAUGCUGAAAUUCUUGCAGAUCACCCUCAUGUACUCAUGUCCCAGGUUCAUGGAGCACUACAUCUAUUGAUGUACAAAUUAAAGCAAUGUUGGCCUAUACACCUCUGGAUGAGAAGAACCUUAGCCUUGUUUUAUUACUGAAUUAUCUUCACAGUUUCCUAAAGUACCUGGCAAAGAAUUCUGCAACAUGUUUUAGUGCCCAGCAAUUAUGAAUGGCUCCCCCAGAGAACCAUCAGAAAGCUGUGUGAGAGGCACUCUCACUCAUGUUUGGAUCUCUGUAAACAUAUUUUUGUUCUUAGUCUUUCUGUUGUACAAAGGAUGUACUUUGAAGAUGUUAUUGUACAACAAUUGAUGUUUUUCUGUUUAAUUUUAAACAGAAAAUUAAAGGAGUAAUAGCUCCUUUUUCCCUAUCUUACCUUUUUUUUCACUUCAAAGUUGCUGCCAGUGUAUUCAACAAUGGACAACAGAGGCACAUGCUGUAGAGUGUUUUAUUGCCUAGUUGACAGAGCUGCCUUUGAAUGCUGGUGGUCCUGUUCCUUUGACCCUACGUACUUUUAUAAUAUGUGUUCAUGCUGUAUGACAAAAUGCUGUGAUUCCUAGUGCCAAAGGUUCAAUUCAGUGUAUAUAACUGAACACACUCAUCCAUGUGUGCUCCUUUUUGUUAUGGUUCUUAAAUAGCCCAUUCUUUGCAAGUCAUCCAUGUUCCUUAGGCAUUUAACUUUGCUCAAAUUGUUGAAGAAUGGUGUCUUGUUGCAUGGUUUUUGUAUUUGUGUCUAGUGCACAUUUUAACAUGGUAGAUGCGAUGCAUUAUGUAGCUAGUUUUCUGAAAAAGUCAGUCUUUUAGGAAUUAUUUUUCAAAUCUUCAAUAAAUUUUUUCUUUAAAUUUCAAAUAAA
Non-coding RNA from Macaca mulatta (Rhesus monkey), 3252 nucleotides. Lineage: Eukaryota; Metazoa; Chordata; Mammalia; Primates; Cercopithecidae. The record is from RefSeq and is a predicted model, not a curated record.